UCCUGCGUGGUAUAAAUGGUUAACAUGCUUGGCUGCUAACCAAAAGGUUAGUAGUUUGAUUCUACCCAGAGGUA
This 74-nucleotide transfer RNA is filed under the name Loxodonta africana (African savanna elephant). It matches the Rfam family "tRNA". Rfam says of the family: Transfer RNA (tRNA) molecules are approximately 80 nucleotides in length. Lineage: Eukaryota; Metazoa; Chordata; Mammalia; Proboscidea; Elephantidae. The record is from Rfam by way of RNAcentral.